CCUACGGGAGGCUGCAGUGAGGAAUAUUGGUCAAUGGACGCAAGUCUGAACCAGCCAUGCCGCGUGCAGGAAGACGGCUCUAUGAGUUGUAAACUGCUUUUGUACGAGGGUAAACGAAGAUACGCGUAUCUGUCUGAAAGUAUCGUACGAAUAAGGAUCGGCUAACUCCGUGCCAGCAGCCGCGGUAAUACGGAGGUUGCAAGCGUUAUCCGGAUUAAUUGGGUUUAAAGGGUGCGUAGGCGGGCGCAUAAGUUAGCGGUGAAAUCCCGAGGCUCAACCACGGAAUUGCCUCUGCUACUGUUCGCCUAGAGAGUAGUUGCGGUAGCCGUAAUUUCUGUUGUAGCGGUGAAAUGCUU
Molecule: ribosomal RNA, 356 nt
Filed under: uncultured bacterium
Lineage: Bacteria
Description: partial 16S ribosomal RNA
Rfam family: Bacterial small subunit ribosomal RNA
Source: RNAcentral